Small nucleolar RNA from Abrus precatorius (Indian licorice), 107 nucleotides. NCBI's taxonomy places the organism in Eukaryota, Viridiplantae, Streptophyta, Magnoliopsida, Fabales, Fabaceae. The record is from RefSeq and is a predicted model, not a curated record.
AUGCAAUAGUGUGGACACUUCCUUAAUAACUCUUUAUAUCUUUCUCAAGCUUCAUAUAAAGAUUCUCCUUCUUGCUGCACAAAUGAUGUAAUAUCUCCUCUUAAUUU